UUAAGUUAACAAGGGCGCAUGGUGAAUGCCUUGGCACUAGGAGCCGAUGAAGGACGGGACUAACACCGAUAUGCUUCGGGGAGCUGUACGUAAGCUAUGAUCCGGAGAUUUCCGAAUGGGGCAACCCAGCAGUUUUAAUCAACUGUUACCACUAGAUGAAUUCAUAGUCUAGCUGGAGGUAAACGCUGUGAACUGAAACAUCUCAUUAGCAGCAGGAAUAUAAAGAAAUUUCGAUUCCCUAAGUAGCGGCGAGCGAACGGGGAACAGCCCAAACCAAAGUGCUUGCACUUUGGGGUUGUAGGACUGAACAUUUGAGUUACCAAAGAACUUGAUAGUCGAAGGAUUUGGGAAAAUCCGCCAUAGAUGGUGAUAGCCCAGUAGAUUAAAUCAAAUUCUCUCAGUUCAGGAUCCUGAGUACGGCGGAACACGUGAAAUUCCGUCGGAAUCCGGGAGGACCAUCUCCCAAGGCUAAAUACUACCUAGUGACCGAUAGUGAACCAGUACCGUGAGGGAAAGGUGAAAAGCACCCCGGGAGGGGAGUGAAAUAGUUCCUGAAACCAUGUGCCUACAAUAAGUCAGAGCGCGUUAAUGCGUGAUGGCGUGCCUUUUGUAGAAUGAACCGGCGAGUUAUGAUCCCGUGCAAGGUUAAGACUAAAAAGUCGGAGCCGUAGCGAAAGCGAGUCUGAAAUGGGCGUUUUGAGUACGAGGUUAUAGACCCGAAACCAGGUGACCUAUCCAUGUCCAGGUUGAAGGUGCGGUAAAACGCACUGGAGGACCGAACCCGUGUAAGUUGAAAAUUGCUGGGAUGAGGUGUGGAUAGCGGUGAAAUUCCAAACGAACUUGGAGAUAGCUGGUUCUCUCCGAAAUAGCUUUAGGGCUAGCCUCGGAAUUAGGAUCAUGGAGGUAGAGCACUAUUUGGACUAGGGGCCCGUCUUGGGUUACUGAAUUCAGAUAAACUCCGAAUGCCAUUGAUUCAUAUCCGGGAGUCAGACGAUGAGUGAUAAGAUCCACCGUCGAAAGGGGAACAGCCCAGACCAUCAGUUAAGGUCCCUAAAUGUAUGCUAAGUGGAAAAGGAUGUGGAGUUGCAUAGACAACUAGGAUGUUGGCUCAGAAGCAGCCACCAUUUAAAGAGUGCGUAAUAGCUCACUAGUCGAGUGAUCCUGCGCCGAAAAUGUACCGGGGCUAAGCAUACUACCGAAACCAUGGAUGCGACCAUUAGGUCGCGUGAUAGGAGAGCGUUCUAAGGGCGGUGAAGCAAGAUCGUGAGGACUUGUGGAGCGCUUAGAAGUGAGAAUGCCGGUAUGAGUAGCGAAAGAUAGGUGAGAAUCCUAUCCACCGAAUGACUAAGGUUUCCUGGGGAAGGCUCGUCCUCCCAGGGUUAGUCGGGACCUAAGUCGAGGCCGAGAGGCGUAGACGAUGGAUAACAGGUUGAGAUUCCUGUACUAGUUAAGUGCGUUUGAGCAAUGGAGGGACGCAGGAGGCUAAGAUGUGCAUUCUGUUGGAUUAGAAUGUCCAAGCAGUAAGUCUUGUGAAGAGUCAAAUGCUUUUCACUUUAAGGACAAGCUGUGAUGGGGAGCGAAAUUUAGUAGCGAAGCGUCUGAUGUCACACUGCCGAGAAAAGCUUCUAGUGAGUACUUAACUACCCGUACCGCAAACCGACACAGGUAGUCGAGGAGAGAAUCCUAAGGUGAGCGAGUGAACUCUCGUUAAGGAACUCGGCAAAAUGACCCCGUAACUUCGGGAGAAGGGGUGCUGAUCGCAAGAUCAGCCGCAGUGAAUAGGCCCAGGCGACUGUUUAUCAAAAACACAGGUCUCUGCAAAAUCGUAAGAUGACGUAUAGGGGCUGACGCCUGCCCGGUGCUGGAAGGUUAAAAGGAUGGGUUAGCUUCGGCGAAGCUCAGAAUUGAAGCCCCAGUAAACGGCGGCCGUAACUAUAACGGUCCUAAGGUAGCGAAAUUCCUUGUCGGGUAAGUUCCGACCCGCACGAAAGGCGUAACGAUCUGGGCACUGUCUCAACGAGAGACUCGGUGAAAUUAUAUUGUCCGUGAAGAUGCGGACUACCCGCGACAGGACGGAAAGACCCCAUGGAGCUUUACUGUAGCUUGAUAUUGAGUGUUUGUACAGCUUGUACAGGAUAGGUAGGAGCCAUAGAAACCGGAACGCUAGUUUCGGUGGAGGCGUUGGUGGGAUACUACCCUCGCUGUAUGACCACUCUAACCCGCACCACUAAUCGUGGUGGGAGACAGUGUCAGGUGGGCAGUUUGACUGGGGCGGUCGCCUCCUAAAAAGUAACGGAGGCGCCCAAAGGUUCCCUCAGAAUGGUUGGAAAUCAUUCACAGAGUGUAAAGGCACAAGGGAGCUUGACUGCGAGACAGACAGGUCGAGCAGGGACGAAAGUCGGGCUUAGUGAUCCGGUGGUACCGUAUGGAAGGGCCAUCGCUCAACGGAUAAAAGCUACCCUGGGGAUAACAGGCUUAUCUCCCCCAAGAGUCCACAUCGACGGGGAGGUUUGGCACCUCGAUGUCGGCUCAUCGCAUCCUGGGGCUGUAGUCGGUCCCAAGGGUUGGGCUGUUCGCCCAUUAAAGCGGUACGCGAGCUGGGUUCAGAACGUCGUGAGACAGUUCGGUCCCUAUCCGUCGCGGGCGUAGGAAAUUUGAGAGGACCUGUCCUUAGUACGAGAGGACCGGGAUGGACAUACCUCUGGUGUACCAGUUGUGCCGCCAGGCGCAUCGCUGGGUAGCUACGUAUGGAUGUGAUAAACGCUGAAAGCAUCUAAGUGUGAAACACACCUCGAGAUGAGAUUUCCCAUUCCUUUAUGGAAGUAAGACCCCUGAAAGAUGAUCAGGUAGAUAGGUUAGAAGUGGCAGUGCGGUGACGCAUGAAGCGGACUAAUACUAAUCGGUCGAGGACUUAACCAA
Molecule: ribosomal RNA, 2919 nt
Filed under: Lactobacillus sp. D1501
Lineage: Bacteria; Bacillati; Bacillota; Bacilli; Lactobacillales; Lactobacillaceae
Description: bacterial LSU rRNA
Rfam family: Bacterial large subunit ribosomal RNA
Source: RNAcentral